AGAUUUAUCAACCUUUCUUUUCUUGUGCAAGAGAGAGGUGAGCGUAACAUAUAUGGAAAUAUAGAUAAUUUAUUAAUGAUGUCACUUGGCUCUUGUCCUAUUGCAGGCUGGGGAGGCAUUGGCUCUCGUCUCCCUUGAGUGGACAUCAGUGGACUCUAGUACUAGCAUAGAGCUCAAAGUCUCAUCCUUCAUUUCGGACACCAAGACCACAGGUCACCGUUGGCAAGCCCGCAUCGUCAAACAAGUGAGGGAUAGAAAAGAGCCCAAGCCUGUUGU
RNAcentral lists this long non-coding RNA (276 nucleotides) under Setaria viridis. Its description in RNAcentral is "long non-coding RNA (SVIR_LNC003729)". Lineage: Eukaryota; Viridiplantae; Streptophyta; Magnoliopsida; Poales; Poaceae. The record is from RNAcentral.